CUCCUUUGGACACUCUCUCGUAGUUCUAUGUCCUUAUAUUGUGGCAUCCAAACCUACACCCAGUGCUGGAGGCUGCAGGAGGCAGCCAGGAAAGCAGGGCCCGGCCAGCAUCGGACUGCAUGAGACUCCGGCCUUCCUUUGCCUUUCUGCCAGAGCUGGGAGUGGCAGGAAGUUUCAGCAGCGAGUGAACUGCUGCAUGAACUCAGAAGCAGCUUAAAAAGAUAGCUGCUAAAUGCUUAACACAUUGUAAACUUCAAGAGGGAACAAACAAAGGCAAGUGUAGGAAACCUGCAAUGCAGUCCUUCACGGUGGGUGCUUUCCGUCCUUGCACACAAGCUACCUUACAGCAGGUUUUUGUUCCGUUUCCUGCUUCAGUAGACAUUCUUUGAUCUGCAGAAUCACUUAGGUGCUAAGUUACUGAAAUCGAAACUAUUUUCACGCAUAGAAAAAUAUUAUGACAUGGUAGUCCAGGGAAGAUGCAGUUUACACUCAACAGUGAUGGUGGAUCACUUCCUGGAUAGCACAAGGGUCUGGAAGGGCUGUCCUUGCUCCUGGAGUUACCUCUCCCAUCAGACAGCCCCUCGCUGGGACACCCACGGCCACUGACAUGGCAUAUAAAAGCAGUACCUUCCACGUUUUCAACGACCUCAUCAAUUGGGAGGCCCAAAACUGGACAGCAGGAUUGCACACAGCAUCAUGCACUGGGAGAUAAUCAUAGAAUUACAGAAUGGUUUGGCUUGGAAUGGAUCCCAAAGCCCACCCAGCUCAAAGCCGACCCAGGGCUGCCACCCACCAGCUCAGGCUGCCCAGGGUCCCAUCCAACCUGGCCCUGUAUGCUUCCAGGGAGGGGGCAUCCACAGCUUCUCUGGGCAGCAGUGCCAGCACCUCACCGCCCUCUGAGUAAACAAUUUCUUUCUACCAUCUAACCUGAAUCUUCCCUCUUUUCGCUAAAAGCCACUCCACCUUGACCUAUCACUAUCAGACUGUGUAAAAAGCUGGUCCCCCUCCUGUUUAUAAGCUCCCUUCAAGUACUGGAAUGCCACGAUGAAGUGUCCUGGGGCCUUCUCUUCUCCAGACUGAACAAGCCCAGCUCCUUCAGCCUGUCUUUGUAGGAGAGAGAGGUGUUCCAGCCCUCUCAUCAUCUUCAUGGCCUCCUCUGGACCUGCUCUAAUAGCUCUAUGUCUUUCUUGUGCUGGGGCCCCAGACCUGGAUGCAGUGCUCCAGAUGGGACCUUACAAGGGCAGAGUAGACGGGGACAGUGAUCUCUCUUACCCUGCUGGCCCCCUCCUCUUUUGAUGCAGCCCCUUGAUUUGUUGGCCACCUGCUUCCUGACAUAGGCCAGCCUGUGCUAUGCCCUGUUUGCAACAAGAACGCUGUUCACCCAUCUUCAGCUUGGCAUCCACAGUAAGCACUAUCCAUAUAGCAGGGCUGCUGUAUGGUUUCCAGCCUCUGUUGUACACUCUUGUAUAAGCAGCUUUCCUGU
Molecule: long non-coding RNA, 1483 nt
Organism: Gallus gallus (chicken)
Lineage: Eukaryota; Metazoa; Chordata; Aves; Galliformes; Phasianidae
Source: Ensembl